RNAcentral lists this ribosomal RNA (468 nucleotides) under uncultured bacterium. RNAcentral describes it as "partial 16S ribosomal RNA". It matches the Rfam family "Bacterial small subunit ribosomal RNA", at positions 28 to 507 of the family's 1533-position model. The record is from RNAcentral.
GACGAACGCUGGCGGCGUGCUUAACACAUGCAAGUCGAACGGAAAGGCCCUGCUUUUGUGGGGUGCUCGAGUGGCGAACGGGUGAGUAACACGUGAGUAACCUGCCCUUGACUUUGGGAUAACUUCAGGAAACUGGGGCUAAUACCGGAUAGGAGCUCCUGCUGCAUGGUGGGGGUUGGAAAGUUUCGGCGGUUGGGGAUGGGCUCGCGGCUUAUCAGCUUGUUGGUGGGGUAGUGGCUUACCAAGGCUUUGACGGGUAGCCGGCCUGAGAGGGUGACCGGCCACAUUGGGACUGAGAUACGGCCCAGACUCCUACGGGAGGCAGCAGUGGGGAAUAGUGCACAAUGGGCGGAAGCCUGAUGCAGCAACGCCGCGUGCGGGAUGACGGCCUUCGGGUUGUAAACCGCUUUCGCCUGUGACGAAGCGUGAGUGACGGUAAUGGGUAAAGAAGCACCGGCUAACUACGUG